CAGUCGCCGCGGUAAUACGUAGGUGGCAAGCGUCGUCCGGAAUUAUUGGGCGUAAAGGGCUCGCAGGCGGUUUCUUAAGUCUGAUGUGAAAGCCCCCGGCUCAACCGGGGAGGGUCAUUGGAAACUGGGAAACUUGAGUGCAGAAGAGGAGAGUGGAAUUCCACGUGUAGCGGUGAAAUGCGUAGAGAUGUGGAGGAACACCAGUGGCGAAGGCGACUCUCUGGUCUGUAACUGACGCUGAGGAGCGAAAGCGUGGGGAGCGAACAGGAUUAGAUACCCCGGUAGUCCCUGUCUCUUAUAC
RNAcentral lists this ribosomal RNA (301 nucleotides) under uncultured bacterium. Its description in RNAcentral is "partial 16S ribosomal RNA". It matches the Rfam family "Bacterial small subunit ribosomal RNA", at positions 509 to 807 of the family's 1533-position model. The record is from RNAcentral.